UUAGUUUGUUGGUGGGGUAAUGGCCUACCAAGACGGUGAUCAAUAGCUGAUCUGAGAGGAUGAUCAGCCACAUUGGGACUGAGACACGGCCCAAACUCCUACGGGAGGCAGCAGUAGGGAAUAUUGCACAAUGGAGGAAACUCUGAUGCAGCGAUGCCGCGUGAGUGAAGAAGGCCUUUGGGUUGUAAAGCUCUUUCGUCGGGGAAGAAAAUGACUGUACCCGAAUAAGAAGGUCCGGCUAACUUCGUGCCAGCAGCCGCGGUAAUACGAAGGGACCUAGCGUAGUUCGGAAUUACUGGGCUUAAAGAGUUCGUAGGUGGUUAAAAAAGUUGGUGGUGAAAUCCCAGAGCUUAACUCUGGAACUGCCAUCAAAACUUUUUAGCUAGAGUAUGAUAGAGGAAAGCAGAAUUUCUAGUGUAGAGGUGAAAUUCGUAGAUAUUAGAAAGAAUACCAAUUGCGAAGGCAGCUUUCUGGAUCAUUACUGACACUGAGGAACGAAAGCAUGGGUAGCGAAGAGGAUUAGAUACCCUCGUAGUCCAUGCCGUAAACGAUGUGUGUUAGACGUUGGAAAUUUAUUUUCAGUGUCGCAGCGAAAGCGAUAAACACACCGCCUGGGGAGUACGACCGCAAGGUUAAAACUCAAAUGAAUUGACGGGGACCCGCACAAGUAGUGGAGCAUGUGGUUUAAUUCGAAGAUACGCGCAGAACCUUACCAACACUUGACAUGUUCGUCGCGACUUUAAGAGAUUAAAGUUUUCGGUUCGGCCGGACGAAACACAGGUGCUGCAUGGCUGUCGUCAGCUCGUGUCGUGAGAUGUUGGGUUAAGUCCCGCAACGAGCGCAACCCACGUUUUUAGUUGCCAGCAUUUAGUUGGGCACUCUAGAAAGACCGCCGGUGAUAAACCGGAGG
This 910-nucleotide ribosomal RNA is filed under the name uncultured bacterium. RNAcentral describes it as "bacterial SSU rRNA". It matches the Rfam family "Bacterial small subunit ribosomal RNA", at positions 241 to 1169 of the family's 1533-position model. The record is from RNAcentral.